Molecule: ribosomal RNA, 468 nt
Filed under: uncultured bacterium
Lineage: Bacteria
Description: partial 16S ribosomal RNA
Rfam family: Bacterial small subunit ribosomal RNA
Source: RNAcentral
GACGAACGCUGGCGGCGGGCUUAACACAUGCAAGUCGAACGGAAAGGCCCUGAGUUUGUGGGGUGCUGGAGUGGCGAAGGGGGGAGUAAGACGUGAGUAACCGGCUCUUGAUUUUGGGGGAAGUUCACGAAACUGGGGCUAAGAUCGGAUAGGAGCUCCUGUUCCAUGGAGGGGGUGGGAAAGUUUCGGCGGUUGGGGAUAGACUCGCGGCUUAGGGGCUAGUUGGUGGGGUAGGUGCUGACCAAGGCUUUGGCGGAUACCCGGCCUGAGAGGGUGACCGGCCACAUUGGGCCUGAGAUACGGCCCAGAGUCCUACGGUGGGCAGCAGUGGGGAAUCUUGCCCAAUGGGCGCACGUCUGAUGCAGCGACGCCGCGUGCGUGAUGACGGCCUUCGGGUUGUAAACCGCUUUCGCCUGUGACGCCGCGUGACUGACGGUACCGGGUAAAGAAGCACCGGCUAACUUCGUG